RNAcentral lists this ribosomal RNA (253 nucleotides) under uncultured bacterium. Its description in RNAcentral is "partial 16S ribosomal RNA". It matches the Rfam family "Bacterial small subunit ribosomal RNA", at positions 524 to 776 of the family's 1533-position model. The record is from RNAcentral.
UACGUAGGGUGCAGGCGUUAAUCGGAAUUACUGGGCGUAAAGCGUGCGCAGGCGGCCUCUUAAGGCAGAUGUGAAAUCCCCGGGCUUAACCUGGGAACUGCGUUUGAAACUGGGAGGCUAGAGUGUGGAAGAGGGGGGUGGAAUUCCAGGUGUAGCAGUGAAAUGCGUAGAGAUCUGGAGGAACACCGGUGGCGAAGGCAGCCCCCUGGGCUGACACUGACGCUCAUGCACGAAAGCGUGGGGAGCAAACAGG